UACGUAGGGUGCAAGCGUUGUCCGGAAUUAUUGGGCGUAAAGAGCUCGUAGGCGGUUUGUUGCGUCGGCUGUGAAAUCCCGAGGCUCAACCUCGGGUCUGCAGUCGAUACGAGCAAACUAGAGUGUUGCAGGGGAGACUGGAAUUCCUGGUGUAGCGGUGAAAUGCGCAGAUAUCAGGAGGAACACCGGUGGCGAAGGCGGGUCUCUGGGCCGAUACUGACACUGAGGAGCGAAAGCGUGGGGAGCAAACAGG
RNAcentral lists this ribosomal RNA (253 nucleotides) under uncultured bacterium. Its description in RNAcentral is "partial 16S ribosomal RNA". It matches the Rfam family "Bacterial small subunit ribosomal RNA", at positions 524 to 776 of the family's 1533-position model. The record is from RNAcentral.